RNAcentral lists this ribosomal RNA (253 nucleotides) under uncultured bacterium. RNAcentral describes it as "partial 16S ribosomal RNA". It matches the Rfam family "Bacterial small subunit ribosomal RNA", at positions 524 to 776 of the family's 1533-position model. The record is from RNAcentral.
UACGGGGGGGGUAAGCGUUGUUCGGAAUUACUGGGCGUAAAGGGCUCGUAGGCGGCCAACUAAGUCAUACGUGAAAUCCCUCAGCUUAACUGGGGAACUGCGUGUGAUACUGGAUGGCUUGGAUUUGGGAGAGGGAUGCGGAAUUCCAGGUGUAGCGGUGAAAUGCGUAGAUAUCUGAAGGAACGCCGGUGGCGAAAGCGGCUCACUGGACCGUCUCUGACGCUGAGGUGCGAAGGCUAGGGUAGCAAACGGG